Molecule: non-coding RNA, 1089 nt
Organism: Danio rerio (zebrafish)
Lineage: Eukaryota; Metazoa; Chordata; Actinopteri; Cypriniformes; Danionidae
Source: RefSeq, a predicted model, not a curated record
GGGAGUGUUAAUUUUAACUCUAAGGUAGUUAAAUCUACUAUCUAAAAUUUGCUGUGUGGUUGUGGCAGUAAUGCACCUUCCAAGUUGAGUUCCUGACAGGCAAUAAAUCAGGAAGAAGAAGAAAGGGAAGAAGAACUGAAAGAGUCAAAGAGCUCAGAUUGUGUUUCUUCUGGACAAGAGUGUCUGCACUUUUGCAUGGUUUCUGCUGGAGAUCAAACUCUUCAGAUCCAUGAUGGAGAACAAAUACACUUCUAGAGAUCAGGAUUUGUUUACAGGAUGCAGUUUAGUUCAUCAGAAGAGAGCAGAAGCAGAGCCCAGCUGUGUGUCUAUGAAGAGUGACUGGUCUAUGGAGCAACCAAUAAAAUUUAAGAGUGAAAACACAGGACCUGCUGUCAGCUCAGUUCAUCAGAAGAGAGCAGAAGCAGAGCCCAGCUGUGUGUCUAUGAAGAGUGACUGGUCUAUGAAUCGACCAAUAACAUUUAGGAGUAAAAUCACUCAACCUGCUAUCAGGUAGAUCAUCUCUACACACACAUGAUUACACUGCAGCAUUUAUAUGAUCCUGUGUUUCUAGAAGAUCAGACAUUAACAAGUAUUAUAUUUACAGGAGACUUUAAAACUAAAUGUCCACACACUCACAUCUGACCAUUAGUGAAGUACUGAAGCAGCAAUAAGUGACUAAAGUAUUAAUACUUAAACUGUUAGAGUUAGUAGAGUGAGUUUACAGGCUUUUACAAUAGUCAGCAAAGGGUUUGUGAUAAAAAGAAAGAUUUUAGACAAGAUUCUGUGAGACAAACACACCACACAGGGUUCAAGGCUAAGGAUUUUUUCCAGUGGCCUGAUUGGGUCAGUGGUUCAGAUUUGUACUUGCCCUGACAAAAUGUUCACUGGCCCCACCCAAUAAAGAAAAAAAAUAGCUAUUUCUUAGUGUCCAAAGCCAAACAUAAUUGUACACUCACACUUUGUUCAGCAUAACUUUUCUUUAAAUACAACUGACAAUUUAAAAAUUAUUUGUUUACAAUUGAUGAAACUAAACUUGAAAAAAAUCGACAUGUAUAUUAUAAGCAAAAAUGUGCACUUUAAUUUUGACAC